CCUACGGGUGGCAGCAGUGGGGAAUAUUGGACAAUGGGGGGAACCCUGAUCCAGCCAUGCCGCGUGUGUGAAGAAGGCCCUCGGGUUGUAAAGCACUUUCAGUGAGGAAGAACGCCUGGUGGUUAAUACCCAUCAGGAAAGACAUCACUCACAGAAGAAGCACCGGCUAACUCCGUGCCAGCAGCCGCGGUAAUACGGAGGGUGCGAGCGUUAAUCGGAAUUACUGGGCGUAAAGCGCGCGUAGGUGGCUUGAUAAGCCGGUUGUGAAAGCCCCGGGCUCAACCUGGGAACGGCAUCCGGAACUGUCAAGCUAGAGUGCAGGAGAGGAAGGUAGAAUUCCCGGUGUAGCGGUGAAAUGCGUAGGGAUCGGGAGGAAUACCAGUGGCGAAGGCGGCCUUCUGGACUGACACUGACACUGAGGUGCGAAAGCGUGGGUAGCAAACAGGAUUAGAUACCCUAGUAGUC
Molecule: ribosomal RNA, 465 nt
Filed under: Vreelandella stevensii
Lineage: Bacteria; Pseudomonadati; Pseudomonadota; Gammaproteobacteria; Oceanospirillales; Halomonadaceae
Description: partial 16S ribosomal RNA
Rfam family: Bacterial small subunit ribosomal RNA
Source: RNAcentral